GUAAAGCCCUUUUGUUGGGAAAGAAAUCCAGCCGGCUAAUACCUGGUUGGGAUGACGGUACCCAAAGAAUAAGCACCGGCUAACUUCGUGCCAGCAGCCGCGGUAAUACGAAGGGUGCAAGCGUUACUCGGAAUUACUGGGCGUAAAGCGUGCGUAGGUGGUUAUUUAAGUCCGUUGUGAAAGCCCUGGGCUCAACCUGGGAACUGCAGUGGAUACUGGAUGACUAGAAUGUGGUAGAGGGUAGCGGAAUUCCUGGUGUAGCAGUGAAAUGCGUAGAGAUCAGGAGGAACAUCCAUGGCGAAGGCAGCUACCUGGACCAACAUUGACACUGAGGCACGAAAGCGUGGGGAGCAAACAGGAUUAGAUACCCUGGUAGUCCACGCCCUAAACGAUGCGAACUGGAUGUUGGGUGCAAUUUGGCACGCAGUAUCGAAGCUAACGCGUUAAGUUCGCCGCCUGGGGAGUACGGUCGCAAGACUGAAACUCAAAGGAAUUGACGG
Molecule: ribosomal RNA, 500 nt
Filed under: uncultured Gammaproteobacteria bacterium
Lineage: Bacteria; Pseudomonadati; Pseudomonadota; Gammaproteobacteria
Description: bacterial SSU rRNA
Rfam family: Bacterial small subunit ribosomal RNA
Source: RNAcentral